RNAcentral lists this ribosomal RNA (301 nucleotides) under uncultured bacterium. RNAcentral describes it as "partial 16S ribosomal RNA". It matches the Rfam family "Bacterial small subunit ribosomal RNA", at positions 509 to 807 of the family's 1533-position model. The record is from RNAcentral.
CAGUCGCCGCGGUAAUACGUAGGUGGCAAGCGUUGUCCGGAAUUAUUGGGCGUAAAGGGCUCGCAGGCGGUUUCUUAAGUCUGAUGUGAAAGCCCCCGGCUCAACCGGGGAGGGUCAUUGGAAACUGGGAAACUUGAGUGCAGAAGAGGAGAGUGGAAUUCCACGUGUAGCGAUGAAAUGCGUAGAGAUGUGGAGGAACACCAGUGGCGAAGGCGGCUCUCUGGUCUGUAACUGACGCUGAGGAGCGAAAGCGUGGGGAGCGAACAGGAUUAGAUACCCCUGUAGUCCCUGUCUCUUAUAC